UAUUAAGUGACUGAAUAAUAAAGUAAUGGUCUCUUAAACCAACCCAUAGUAAUAAUUACUCUUAAUAA
This 68-nucleotide transfer RNA is filed under the name Peloridora minuta. RNAcentral describes it as "tRNA-Lys". Lineage: Eukaryota; Metazoa; Arthropoda; Insecta; Hemiptera; Peloridiidae. The record is from RNAcentral.